RNAcentral lists this long non-coding RNA (200 nucleotides) under Lathyrus oleraceus (garden pea). Its description in RNAcentral is "Pisum sativum (pea) long non-coding RNA (PSAT_LNC008535)". The record is from RNAcentral. Lineage: Eukaryota; Viridiplantae; Streptophyta; Magnoliopsida; Fabales; Fabaceae.
UGCAAUACCUGUCAUUGCAUGCUCACCUUCACUUAGGAUAUCAUCAUAGCGGAAAUACUCAAUUAAAACACAUCAAUUUAAAUCUCGUAAUAAAUUUCAUAUCAUAAUUAAAAAGCAUCGACUUGUAAGUCUUCUCCAAAUGUUUAUCACACCAAAACAUAAAAUGAGAGAGCAUACAUUGCCUCUCACAAAUCUCAACA